UACGUAGGUGGCAAGCGUUAUCCGGAUUUAUUGGGCGUAAAGGGAACGCAGGCGGUCUUUUAAGUCUGAUGUGAAAGCCUUCGGCUUAACCGGAGUAGUGCAUUGGAAACUGGGAGACUUGAGUGCAGAAGAGGAGAGUGGAACUCCAUGUGUAGCGGUGAAAUGCGUAGAUAUAUGGAGGAACACCGGUGGCGAAAGCGGCUCUCUGGCCUGUAACUGACACUGAGGCUCGAGAGCGUGGGGAGCAAACAGG
RNAcentral lists this ribosomal RNA (253 nucleotides) under uncultured bacterium. RNAcentral's name for it is "partial 16S ribosomal RNA". It matches the Rfam family "Bacterial small subunit ribosomal RNA", at positions 524 to 776 of the family's 1533-position model. The record is from RNAcentral.